This 457-nucleotide ribosomal RNA is filed under the name uncultured bacterium. Its description in RNAcentral is "bacterial SSU rRNA". It matches the Rfam family "Bacterial small subunit ribosomal RNA", at positions 340 to 786 of the family's 1533-position model. The record is from RNAcentral.
UACGGAAGGCAGCAGUGGGGAAUAUUGCACAAUGGGCGAAAGCCUGAUGCAGCUAUGCCGCGUGUAUGAAGAAGGCCUUAGGGUUGUAAAGUACUUUCAUCGGGGAGGAAAAAACAAAACUAAUAAUUUUAUUUCUUGACGUUACCCGAAAAAGAAGCACCGGCUAACUCCGUGCCAGCAGCCGCGGUAAUACGGAGGGUGCUAGCGUUAAUCAGAAUUACUGGGCGUAAAGAGCACGUAGGUGGUUUUUUUAAGUCAGAUGUGAAAUCCCUGGGCUUAACCUGGAACUGCAUUUUGAAACUGAAAUACUAGAGUAUCGUAGAGGGAGGUAGAAUUCUAGGUGUAGCGGUGAAAUGCGUAGAUAUCUGGAGGAAUACCUGUGGCGAAAGCGGCCUCCUAAACGAAUACUGACACUGAGGUGCGAAAAGCGUGGGGAGCAAAACAGGGAUUAGAUACC